This 254-nucleotide ribosomal RNA is filed under the name uncultured bacterium. Its description in RNAcentral is "partial 16S ribosomal RNA". It matches the Rfam family "Bacterial small subunit ribosomal RNA", at positions 524 to 776 of the family's 1533-position model. The record is from RNAcentral.
GACAGAGGGUGCAAACGUUGUUCGGAAUUACUGGGCGUAAAGCGCGUGUAGGCGGCUAAGUAAGUCGGGCGUGAAAUCCCACGGCUCAACCGUGGAAGUGCACUCGAAACUGCAUAGCUAGAGUCCUGGAGAGGAAGGUGGAAUGCUUGGUGUAGAGGUGAAAUUCGUAGAUAUCAAGCGGAACACCGGUGGCGAAGGCGGCCUUCUGGACAGUGACGUGACGCUGAGACGCGAAAGCGUGGGGAGCAAACAGG